GAUAUUUUUAUUAGUGGGGCGAGUUGUCAAACCUUUAUUCAGUGGGGUUUUAACCUUUUACGUUAAUUUGUGAGUUUUCAGACUGAUUGUUCAAUUUGAUUUUACACUUUUUCAAAGUGGGGCAAGUCGGUAAACAAGAUUGGGACGAUAUUUUUAUAAAGUGGCGAUAUAGCGUGGGCCGAUUGGCAAGUGGGGCGAGUUGACAUUGUUUGAUAUCUACUCAUCGUGUUUGGGGGUCAAAAAGGGUAUACAUCAUAUAGUAAUAUAUAAAGUAUAUUGUUAUGGUUCUGUGGCG
Molecule: long non-coding RNA, 295 nt
Filed under: Mytilus galloprovincialis (Mediterranean mussel)
Lineage: Eukaryota; Metazoa; Mollusca; Bivalvia; Mytilida; Mytilidae
Source: RNAcentral